RNAcentral lists this long non-coding RNA (1096 nucleotides) under Fukomys damarensis (Damara mole-rat). RNAcentral describes it as "lncRNA (ENSFDAG00000029043.1)". The record is from RNAcentral. Lineage: Eukaryota; Metazoa; Chordata; Mammalia; Rodentia; Bathyergidae.
CAGAGGUGACAGGAAAAAAGGUGUGGUUAAUGUGCCCGUGAUACAAGUAACACAAUGGAUGAUUUCACAGGAAAUCUGAAAUAUUUUCUUUAAAUGAAGUGGAAGGACUAGGAACAAAAACUACGUUGACUGAACUCACCUACCCGAAAGACUGGGUUAGCCACGGAUUCAACAGCAAGUGACCAGGGGACGAAUCAGCAGGAAGUGUCAAGGGAAGCAGACAGAACCGGAACCGAAAGCAUGGAAAGGGAAGCUGUGUGGAUCCACAGGAGCCUUGGGCCGAGCUCUAGCAGCUCAGACUAGAGUUGCAGAGAAGGAGACAGCAGACAGGGGAGGCUGAGGAGCCUGGUGGAGAAAUGUCCAGGGUCGCCAGAGACAGCGACACAAAUCCGGGAAGCAAUAGGGACACAGCUGCACAUCAGUGUCACCAGUGAGAAGAGUGGGCCCGCAGACCCACGGUGGCAGGCGCCGGAGACCCAGGGCUGCUGGGAGCCCUGCGCAGCAGCUCACCCAGACUCCGGGCCCAGGAAGCUGGACCAAGGAGACGACCAGGAGGCUCAGAGGUCACCACGGAGCAGCAGUGGUACCUGCAGCGCAGCACAGACGCUGCCGGAAGAUGAGUGCGCAGAGCAGUCCGGCCAGACACAGCUGGCACUCAAGACGAACUGAACACGUUUUGAAAAACACUGCUGCUGGCGCAAGAAAAGCUACAAUUUAAUCCUAAUAAAAUGCUCUCACAAAGACAACACCGGCUUCCAACCCCUUUUAACUGUGCCAGUGAAUUCUUCUACAGCUUGUGGAGAAAGCAAUGCCUAUCUCUCUAACCUUCAGGGAGAGAAGAGACAAGAUCACUCAAGGAAGGUCGAGGGGCAGGGUCCGACCAGGAAGUGGGAAUCAGCACUCAUGGUCAUCAGUACACAAAAUAACCCACCCUAAGUCCAGGUACAAGCCAGACACACUGUCGAGGUAGAAAUUAAAAAUUAAUAAGGCUGGGCGUGGUGGCACAUGCCUGUAAUCCCAACAGGGGAGGCUGAGGCAGGAGGAUCACUGUGAGUUUGAGGCCCCCCUCAGGUACAUAGUGAGUGCAAGACCAGGC